Molecule: non-coding RNA, 72 nt
Organism: Phrynosoma platyrhinos (Desert horned lizard)
Lineage: Eukaryota; Metazoa; Chordata; Lepidosauria; Squamata; Phrynosomatidae
Source: the annotation of a GenBank genome assembly
GGAUACUAGCUAUAGUGGUUUGAGUGUUGGACUACGACUCUGGAGACCAGGGUUCAAUCCCCAGCUCAGCCA